UAAGAGGUAGUAUAGUGGUAGUACGAGAAGUUUUGAGCUUCUUGGUUUAGGUUCAACUCCUGGACUCUUAG
Molecule: transfer RNA, 71 nt
Filed under: Amerotyphlops reticulatus (reticulate worm snake)
Lineage: Eukaryota; Metazoa; Chordata; Lepidosauria; Squamata; Typhlopidae
Description: tRNA-Gln
Rfam family: tRNA
About the family: Transfer RNA (tRNA) molecules are approximately 80 nucleotides in length. Their secondary structure includes four short double-helical elements and three loops (D, anti-codon, and T loops).
Source: RNAcentral